GUCCUUUUCAAGCGCGCUUCCGACCCCUAUAUUGGGGGUGCCGCUUCGCGCGGCUAUGGCAAUAAACGGCGUUGAAAUAAGCCAUUCGGACCCGGGGGCGGUACCCGGCGCCUCCACCAAGAUCCGGCGAAGCCGGGCCAAACCCGCUCAGGGCGCGGCCGGAUGUUGAUGGGGGCGAAACAGGAUCGACGAGGGUGUAAAGAACGACUUUUUGCUCGGCAUGAUACCACCGUUAUCGGGUCACAAGUGUAGUUGCAAACGACAACAACGCUCAGGGUUACGCUGUCGCUGCCUAAUGGCGGUGCCAGAAACCCAAAUUAAGUCCUUGCGGGUAGCACUGUAAGGCGGGGUUCGGAGGCACCUGGCAACAGAAGCCUCCACU
RNAcentral lists this transfer-messenger RNA (382 nucleotides) under Hoeflea sp. It matches the Rfam family "Alphaproteobacteria transfer-messenger RNA". Rfam says of the family: Bacterial tmRNA, also known as 10Sa RNA or SsrA, is named for its dual tRNA and mRNA-like properties. Its role is to liberate the mRNA from a stalled ribosome. The record is from RNAcentral. Lineage: Bacteria; Pseudomonadati; Pseudomonadota; Alphaproteobacteria; Hyphomicrobiales; Rhizobiaceae.